Molecule: ribosomal RNA, 490 nt
Filed under: uncultured bacterium
Lineage: Bacteria
Description: partial 16S ribosomal RNA
Rfam family: Bacterial small subunit ribosomal RNA
Source: RNAcentral
AUUGAACGCUGGCGGCAGGCCUAACACAUGCAAGUCGAACGGUAACAGGGAUCAGCUUGCUGAUUCGCUGACGAGUGGCGGACGGGUGAGUAAUGUCUGGGAAACUGCCUGAUGGAGGGGGAUAACUACUGGAAACGGUAGCUAAUACCGCAUAACGUCGCAAGACCAAAGAGGGGGACCUUCUGGCCUCUUGCCAUCGGAUGUGCCCAGAUGGGAUUAGCUAGUAGGUGGGGUAACGGCUCACCUAGGCGACGAUCCCUAGCUGGUCUGAGAGGAUGACCAGCCACACUGGAACUGAGACACGGUCCAGACUCCUACGGGAGGCAGCAGUGGGGAAUAUUGCACAAUGGGCGCAAGCCUGAUGCAGCCAUGCCGCGUGUAUGAAGAAGGCCUUCGGGUUGUAAAGUACUUUCAGCGGGGAGGAAGGGAGUAAAGUUAAUACCUUGGCUCAUUGACGUUACCCGCAGAAGAAGCACCGGCUAACUCCGUG